AAAGCCUUGGCUUAAUUAAAGUAUCUGGGUUGCAUUCAGAAGAUGUGGGAUAAAAUCCUGCAGGUUUUA
Molecule: transfer RNA, 69 nt
Filed under: Helogenes marmoratus
Lineage: Eukaryota; Metazoa; Chordata; Actinopteri; Siluriformes; Cetopsidae
Description: tRNA-Ala
Rfam family: tRNA
About the family: Transfer RNA (tRNA) molecules are approximately 80 nucleotides in length. Their secondary structure includes four short double-helical elements and three loops (D, anti-codon, and T loops).
Source: RNAcentral